UACGUAGGUGGCAAGCGUUGUCCGGAUUUAUUGGGCGUAAAGGGCGCGUAGGCGGUUUGUUAAGUCGGCUGUGAAAGCCUGGGGCUCAACCCCAGAGGGUCGGCCGAUACUGGCAAACUAGAGUACGGAAGAGGUAGCUGGAAUUCCCGGUGUAGCGGUGAAAUGCGUAGAGAUCGGAAAGAACACCAACGGCGAAAGCACUCUGCUGGGCCGACACUGACACUGAGAGACGAAAGCUAGGGGAGCGAAUGGG
This 253-nucleotide ribosomal RNA is filed under the name uncultured bacterium. Its description in RNAcentral is "partial 16S ribosomal RNA". It matches the Rfam family "Bacterial small subunit ribosomal RNA", at positions 524 to 776 of the family's 1533-position model. The record is from RNAcentral.